UUAAUACUUAUAGUUUAAAAUGGGAUGAAUUAUUGUUACUGUGACUAGGAAGUUCACAGCUGAAGUUGUAACAACUGACUGAACUGUUGUUGGGCAUAACUGAAGAGCUUUAGCUGUUAAAGUGAGCAUCAGUGAAUUAAAGAUUAAGAAAGAUGAAAAUACGUCAAUUACGUAAGACGGUGGAAUGUAUGAAUCCAAGAAACGCACUAAAACUUGAGGAUUUUCGGGGGAAAGCGCAAAUUUGGCGCAUAUUCCAGCAAAUGCAGCACACACUCCAGCAAGAGAAGCAUUUGUCACACCACUUGGAGCCAUAACCGUUUGAAUCUUGAAGCUUUCCUAUACCUAUUAAUCGGGAAAUUGUAUUAAAUUACAUGAUUUUUGUAGGUCUUUUGUUAACAGUCAAAUGGAUUCGUCCAUUGAAUAGCUCGCUGGCCUCUGGUGUGCAGUUUCCGCAACCGUGCAGGAACGGUUAGUACUAAGAUUAGCUCCCUUGUCACUACCUAAACCACUCAAUUGAACAAAUUCAAGCUCUUUGAAAAUCUUGAUCCAUUUGGCAUUUGCCAUCCAAGAAAAUACGUAAAAUUUUGAAGAAAAUUCGGAAGUCAGGAUCAUUAUACUAAAAAGUCUAAUCGUGAAACCUUUAUGCAAUAGAUGCCGCUAAAUGUCUUUCCCGUUGGCUUAGACGAGGUGUACUGUAUUAAAGUGGGAUGCGUUUAAGAAAAAGAAAAGUGGGAUCAAUACUCACUACUUACUUGGCUUUUUAUAAUAUUAUGAAGCCAAAGUUGAAUUAUUGGAACUAACCUCCCGCAAUAUAGGAUUUAAAAAUGAGUUUUUUACCUUGUCAACCAAGGACGAAUUCUCAUUUUUGCACUGGAAAAUAAAAAAAACAUCCCAAUUGGCAGUGAAAAAAAAAAAAAAAACGAAACAAAAACACCAGGGCCACACAGAAAUCUUUCAUCUUCAUACCUUUGGCCCACAAUGCGACGGUUGGCAAAUAUUGAUCUGGUCGCAGUGUCCGCCAGUCGACGUGACUUUUUUUUUUUUUUUUUUCCCCAUUACAUAAAAGCCUAUCUACCAGGUAUGUACAGAAUCAUCAAGUUUACAAUGCUUCAGAGCUUAAGCGAAAAAACAAGGUACGUCACAAGUGACAUCGAGUCCUGUUUGUCUUCCGAUUUUUAUCUUUAUUAUACAUUAGACCGUCGUACGAAUACCGUGCCAAAAGUACUAGGGCAAAACAAAAAAGGAAGAAGUUUUGACCCCGUCAUAUGAUUGCCCUGAAGCUAUUUUCUUUUUCUGAUUAAUUUGUUUGUUCACAAACUCAUUUCUCUCUUUUUAAAGAUUUUUCAGUUGUUUAGACCCGCUCGUGCUUGCGGCCAUUGGGUCACUACGUAUACGUUUAAAGAAGGACCUUUGAUAUGGACGACUGUUUGCUGUUGCUACGCCACAGCACUGUCGCGCAUAAUAAUGGGUUGAUUCAAAAUGCAUAAACGAGAAAGCAGUUCAUGCAAAACCCGUCCAGUAUUUACAUUUCCGAAAUUGGCUGGUUCAACAUGAAAAUCUGUUUGGCCUUGUACCAGAAUUUCAAGUGUGAAAAAGACCGAUUCCGUACAGAUUUUAAUAAGCAAUCAAAAACUAGUUUAAAACUCGUAUAGAAUGCAAUUCGUUUCAGUUUAUGAUAGGCCUUUAUGUCUGCCUUUCUUGUUGAUACUAUUAUAAGUUUUUUGUAUUUAUUUUAUUGCGCGUUUACAAAGGCUAUUCAUUCGUCGUGACGUAGCAUACUGUACAUUGAUAAUGACCAAUGGUAUAUGCAUGUAUAAUUAUUCAUAUUUAUUGACGGAAUUGGUACGUUAUAGCGGUCACAUUCUUUAAUAGGCCUGUUGUAUUGCGAGUCCAUGUUUCUCGUUUCCAAAAGAAAUGUUCAGUCCUGGAAAAAAGUAGCAAGCGAAAAAUGUGAUACUUUUUCUUGCUGGAAACAAGAGUCUUGUAAGUUAACAAAACCCAACUUUUCAGAUUCCAUGUAUGUUUACAAAUUCAAAGAAAGAAAGGAAAAAAUUGAUCUCACUGGCUACGGCUAUGUUGCUAGCACGACUAUGUAUCGAUUUGGCAACCGGAGACGUGUUGUCCGGUCGUAUACGGAUUUCCAGUGUUAGAUUCAAAUUUCGUUUUCCGGCAGACUGGACACAUAUUUUUUAAUUUUUAAAACGACACGUAUGAUCCGAAAUAAUCCUGACUUUUUUUUACUCUUGUGCUCUUGAUGAUUCUCAGAAGAAAAUUAUGGUCUUCUUUAGCGUGGGUAAAUUCUGCGGAAAAGGGGGAGCGUUACGGUGUUUAUUUUUCAUAUGUUCCGGUCUGUAGCAGCUUCCGGACAUGGCUUUUUAACUUAUGUUUCCUUGUCUGGCAAUUCUUCGUAAUUGGUCAAUGAUGCAGCACAAUUUUUAAGAAAUCGACAAAUCAUCAUGUCCAAUAGGAUACACACCAUUCUGAAAGCAGCAAGAAUUACCGAUCGAUCAAUCAGCUAUUUGUCUUAGGUAUAAUCAAAUGAAAAGACCGCCUUCAAACCUAUUAUUUUUUUACUAUUAUAAAGAUUGACUUUCUCUUAUUAAAACAUAUUCGAAAUAGAAGAAAAUAAGGGUGCAGCUGGUUGUCUAUAAUAUACUGUGUAUAUAAUAUUUUUUUCUUAUUUU
RNAcentral lists this long non-coding RNA (2684 nucleotides) under Daphnia magna. Its description in RNAcentral is "uncharacterized LOC116929282, transcript variant X2". Lineage: Eukaryota; Metazoa; Arthropoda; Branchiopoda; Diplostraca; Daphniidae. The record is from RNAcentral.